This 1143-nucleotide long non-coding RNA is filed under the name Oryctolagus cuniculus (rabbit). RNAcentral describes it as "lncRNA (ENSOCUG00000034825.1)". Lineage: Eukaryota; Metazoa; Chordata; Mammalia; Lagomorpha; Leporidae. The record is from RNAcentral.
GCUGGAACCCCCCCCCCCCCCAGGCUACAGGGUCUCCCAAGCCCUGGGGAAGUCGCCAAGCCGCUCGUUCGCCCCAUCCAGCCCACAGCGACGCCCCUCGAGGGCUGGGUCUGUCCCCGCUCCGGGAAGCCGGGCUGGGCCCCGCCUUCGCAACAGCCUGGAAGGCGAGGUACCAGACCACACAGGCCGCUUCUGCCGAGGCACUUCCCGGGGCCCGACUGGAGGAAGUGUCCCCGCCGCCAGGCCUGGCGCAAGGCCGCGGCCACACCGCCACCAGGAGGGGUCGCGCCGCCUGCUCUGCCCGCGCCCCCCGCCCCGCCCCAGCCCGUUGGCCCGACCCUGCGCGGGGUAAUUGGGGCGGGAGGGAGGCGAGCGGCGGGCGGCGGCUCCAGAGAGACUGCGCGCCUGUCAGCCGCAAUUUGUUUAAGUGGACGGGACAGGCCGGGCCGCUGCGGGCUGGGGUCACCGAGGCCGCGGCCCCCACCCCAGCCAGACCCGGGACCGCGGGGGAGCCCAUCUCGGCCGCUAAACCGGGCUGGCUGGCGCCAAGGCUCCGGGAGGCGCGGGGCCCUCGGAGAGGCCGGGGAUGGGAAGCAGAGCGUGUUGGCGGGGACGUCGAAAGGGCUACACGUGCGCCUGCGGCCCCGGACUGUCACACACAGGGCCACGCGCGGCCUGUGCCACCGCCGCGGGGUACCAGCCUCGCGCCAGCGCCCGGUUGGUUACUCGGGCUUGCAUCGAGUCCUUGGCCACACGCCCCCAGGAGCUCCCGCCAUCCCCUCCACGGGUCACGCAAACCCACGCCCAGCCACACAGGCGAGGACACCAGCGGGGACCCCGGCGACUCUGAAGCCCAACUCCCGGGACGGUCUCAGCCAGACCCUUGACCCCGAGAGACGAGGCAGGGCCCAAGGACCGGCGGGCAGCAGGCGCGGGAAGAGGACCGCGGCCCCACUGAGUCCGGGCCGCCCUCGCCUCAUGUCCUCGUUGCGGGAAGCGCGGAGCGGGCCGACCGUGCGCAACGAGACUGAGGUCGCGAGGCCGCGCCCGUCCGACGCCCCAGGCCGGGACCGCCCGGGAGAGGGAGGGGCGGCUGAGCGCGCGUCCUCCGCCCGUCUGCGGGGCCCGGCCGAUGCGAAGUGA